RNAcentral lists this ribosomal RNA (253 nucleotides) under uncultured bacterium. Its description in RNAcentral is "partial 16S ribosomal RNA". It matches the Rfam family "Bacterial small subunit ribosomal RNA", at positions 524 to 776 of the family's 1533-position model. The record is from RNAcentral.
UACGUAGGGUGCAAGCGUUGUCCGGAAUUAUUGGGCGUAAAGAGCUCGUAGGCGGCUUGUCGCGUCGACUGUGAAAUCCCGGGGCUUAACUUCGGGCGUGCAGUCGAUACGGGCUGGCUUGAGUGCGGUAGGGGAGACUGGAAUUCCUGGUGUAGCGGUGAAAUGCGCAGAUAUCAGGAGGAGCACCGAUGGCGAAGGCAGGUCUCUGGGCCACUACUGACGCUGAGAAGCGAAAGCGUGGGGAGCGAACAGG